CUGCACCAUCUAAUCCAUUCUGUGGCUGAGUGGUGCUCUGUCCUUUGAAACCUGAGGCAACACGAUUUACUCUAAGUUGAGACCGUUAAUGUAUCCAUUUCCUACUGCUGCCACCGCUGUUUGUAUCAGCUUAGCUGCACAAACGAUGAAUGACAACAGAGGCGCACCCAAACAGGAUUUCAGAGAAAGGCGGGAACCUACCUGUGUACUUGUGCUGGAGUCACUCUGCAAGCGCAAAUGGUUCUGACUGUCUGAGCCACAACUCUGUGAAGACUGGAAGAGGACAGUACAGCCACUUAGAGAAAUAAAGGGAAGAGAAACUGCACAAUGAAACAUUAAAACAUCAGCUUUUUUGCUGUAUUCUUGCUAUUUAAUGAUUACAUUUUUUAAAAAUCGAGUUGUCUGAAAUUGAUAUCAACUCCCUUCGUCCUUUGCAAAGCAUGAAUGUCUGCAUUUCUGAGUUUAUUUUGAAAGGGAUGAGGAGCAAAAAUAAAGACAAAUUCAAUGAGAUCUGAUCCUCUGCACCAUUUCAAACCUUGCUGUCCACCUAACAGCCCAACAAUACUCUCAGUGAACCGUGCCUGGUCUGUCAUCUAUCAUCGUGGUAUUUCACUGUCUCAGACUCCUGGCUACACAGCUGGACCAGCAUUUUAUGGAAUCUGAAUAAAAACUGAUGCUGUAAAUCAGGUACAAAAACAAAGUUGCUGAGGAACUCAGGAAAAUCUUACUGGGCUGUUGUAACUAACUGCAGACUAUCAGGGGUCACUCCAUCUAGACUGUCAAGAGAGGGAGAUUUUCAUUCCAGUCUGCUCUGAACGAAAUGGAAAAGGGGUAUAACUGCCCAUGUGUGGUCUAGCAUUUACUGCCAAUCAACACCACGUGGAGUUGGAGGGUCACAGCAGGUCAGGCAGCAUCAGCGGGGCAGGUAAGUCAAAGUUUCUGGUUUACCACCAUGUACCACUUGAUCCUCCUAGAUUUAGAAUCCAGUCUUUUUUCCAGCGUGGGUUCAAAUCCUGCCACCUCUAACUUACCGGCAGCUUGUUACCCUGUCUCUUUGUGUGACCAAGUUAGGUUUAACUCACAGUACAAAAUGUGAUCCGCUAGUUCUUGCUAUCUCCAAUUUACUGCCAGUCCCUAGUUGCCUUGGAGAAGGUGGGGGUAGGCUUCCUGAACUGCUAUAGUCCAUGGAGAGAGGGAGCUGUAGGAUUUUGAUGUGGCAACAGCAAAGGAACAGCAAUAUACUUUCAAGUCAGGAUGGUGAGUGGCUCAGAAUAGAAUGUGCAGGUGGUGGCGUUCCCUUGUAUCUGCUGCCCUUGAUUUUCUAAAUGGCCGAGCCUUGGUGAUUUGCUGCAGUGCAUUGGGUGGGUGACUGCUAAUGUGCGUUGAUGGUGGAGAGACUGAAUGCUGAAGGUAGUGGAUGUGGUGCCAACAAACCAAACUGACUGCUUUGUCCAAGACAGCAUCAGGCUUUCGAUUAUUUUUGGAGUAUUCCAUUGCUCACUAGAUUUGCACUAACUAAAUAGCAGACAGGCUUCAGGGAAUCAGGAGAUAACUUAGCCCUCUAGCUGACUUGGAUUUGAAGGCUCACACAGCUCAGGAAGGUCUAAAAUUUGAUGUGGAUCUGAGCUGGCUGUUGCACGUAUGAUUACAUUGUUAUGGGCACUUGGAUAAUAUGCAGGAAGACAACAACAGGUCAUUUUAUUCUAGUCAGGCAAUCAGGGCAGAUGAGAAAUCCAAAGAAGUUACAACAUAAGCACCUUUCACUUCAUGAUUAUUUCAUAGCCUUCAACGUUACUGUUUAAACCCAUAAACUGCACUGAUGUCUUUACGUGUGACUAUAAUCAGCGGGUACAGUCAAUGUUGGGAAAUGCACAAAGGUGAGGUAAACACUGUCUCGUACAAUAUCCUUUUUUUGAUCAUAUUCAGGUUGGGGAGCGGUGAGAGGCACAGGUUUGUGUUUUAGGAGAAUCGGCUUAGUCCAGGCCAAGUCACACGUAGGGUGUGUGUGUGUGCGUGUGUGCGUGCGUGCUGUGUGUGUGUGGUGUGUGAGAUGUGCGUGCUGCAUGUGCUGUGUGUGUGUGUGUGUGUGUGUGUUUGUGUGUGUGUGUGAGAUGUGCCUACAGCUUUUUUUUUUAUUAACAUCACUAUGGUGUCUCCAUACACCAAGAGCUGCAAUGGCUCAAGAAGGCAGCUCAAUGCCGCCUCCUUCAGGGUAAUUUGGGAAGGGCAGUUGAUACUGAUCCUGCUUGCGAUAACCAGAUCCUUGAACAAAUAAUUGACUGUUGGGCUCAGCAAGCCCAUGUCGGUGAUUCCUUCCAUGGGAACCCUAGUCCUAAUCUUCAGUGCUUUGCAAGUUCCUCUAUUUGUAACCCCAUUUCCUUCAAAGACUGACUUUAGCUUUUCUUAAAUACUGACAUAUUUCCUGCUCGAGUCAUUAUCUUUGGUUGUACAUUUCACAGCCUCUCAGUAAUAAGAUUUAUCCUGCUCGCUGUCCCAAAGCUUUUAUAUUUAAUCUAUGGUUUCUUGUUACAGACUCAUCAAUUAUUGGGGACGAUCUGCUCCUGUUUAUUCUGUUCCACCGCUUUAUCAUAUAAAAGUUUCCAUCAAAUUCUCUUUAAUCUCCACAAUUCCAAUGAAGGAAAUCUUUAACAGAAGACUAUUCUUCUUCAUGACAUGCAGCAUUAAGAUUCAUGCCAUGAUCGAAUCCACUCUUGUUCCUAUUUCUGGUGACCAUUGAGAUAGGAAGCUGACGCUCUAUUUUCUGUUACUGUGCUUGUGUUUAAUAUUGCGGUGGGGGGAAAUGGGGUGCGGAGAAAGCUUGCUGGGAUGAGCUAAUACCAUCCCAAUUUGGUAAUGGCAAAAAAUAGGAGCAGCAUCAGGUUCCAAAUGAUGAGUGGGGCGGAAUCCAGUCAGGAGGAAGGAAAUAAGAAUAGAAAAUGCAGGGAAGACUUGGAAUCCUACCACGUUAUGGUCACUUUCUCCCUAAGGAUCUCUCGAAGCAAGAUUAUUAAUUGCCUCUUACUCAUUGCACAAAACAAAAUUGAGGAUAGCCUGUUCUUUAGUUGGUUGCUCAACGAUUUUGUUUUAGCUACAUUAAAGAUGACACAUAAAUGCAACUUGCUGUUGUUGUUAGCACUGCUCUGGGUGGUCCUUUCUUCCUUUAUUCAAGCUCCAUGCACCUCUCACACUGAGCCUCACCUCGUUGCUGACUGUUGAGUCUCGGUGAAGCAUCCGUUGCAUCUGAGUGUCCAGGCUGACGGCGGACGAGCAUUUGGCCAACGCUGCUGCAUGUGACUCUCUCUCCCGCUGACGGACGAUCGCUUCGCAGGCCAUCCACUCGCCCAUGGUCUGCUCAUAGCCGGUUCGAAUCUUAUCGUCGACCUGAGGUUGAGGGGGAACAGGAACAGCCUUGAACAAAACCAGCAGAAAAUGAACAUAUUGUUCCUGGGACGUGACACUCCCCUUGCAUAGAAUGAACAUUUCAACUAAUCCAACAAAAACGAGUAUACAAGAUGUCAUCCCCAGUUCUGGCCAAAGGAGAUCAAAGCUCAUCAAACUAGACUUAGCACAAAUGACUCCACGGUUAUCAGUCAUUGAAGAGAAGACAUCAAAAUCCACCUCUAACUGAAUGUGCGAACUCCAACUCCAUUCACAUGACUGAAUCAUCUUUAAACUAGACAACUGUGGCUUCUGUUCAUCAGUCUGCUUGUAACACCUGAAGAGUAAGCCACUCCAAGCUACCUGAUUGCUCACCUCUGAUUUCAAUAUUACUCAUACGUCUGAUUCCUGUAAAAAAAACCAGCAUUGUGCCUGCAGUGAGCCAAUUCCCAGCUUAUACAUACUACUCAUCAGUUAUUUGACAGAGUCUGAGCUCAAAAUAAGGGAUUUCUGUGCACAGCCAACUGAAAGAACUUCAACUGGAGAAUGAGUAGCUAAACUCUCUAAUUCACACUGUGACAUCCUUGAUUUGUAGUGCUUUGUAAUUUACAACUUCUUUCCUGUCUUUCUUGUAAGUAUAUGUGUAUGAAUGUGUGUUGCGAACCAAGG
Molecule: long non-coding RNA, 4047 nt
Organism: Stegostoma tigrinum
Lineage: Eukaryota; Metazoa; Chordata; Chondrichthyes; Orectolobiformes; Stegostomatidae
Exons: 4
Source: RefSeq, a predicted model, not a curated record